GUAAGAUAUAAACCUUAUACUAAGAAUCUUCAUGUUCAUUUAUUAUUGUUACUAUUUGUGACGGCCCGCAGUUCCUCAACAAGAAGUCACGCUGCCAAACACAACUAAACAAGAAGAUACAAUAUAAAAUUUAAUAAUAAAAGUAAAACAGAAGCUAUUCAUCCCUUAUACAACAUAUAACAUAAUUUACACCAUGAGUUUACCGAAAACUGUUGAGUCCACAACUGGACUAAAAGUCACCAGAUGAAAACUAAACAUGAAAUUCUGAUUUGGCUCUAUAAAUUGUCUUCAUCGACUUUAUCUGAAAAAGAUUAAAAUUCAAAUGGAAUGAUUAAAACAAUAAGCUUAGUAAAUAUAUCGAAUAGACUGCACCCUGAGCAUGCGACAUACCAACAUACAGUCAGUCAGAAAUAUAAAAAUUUCUUCCUCUUUAUGUUUGAAAACUAUGAAAUGCAGAGAUAUUCCAUUUCUUAUCUCAUAUCUCAUUGUUUUCUUAACUUCAACAAGUCUUUUUCCUUUACUAUUCUCCUUUACUAGUUAUCUUUCAAAAUUCCUCAUUUUCAUUAUUUUCUCAUUAUCCCGCUAAUUUCUUUCUUUUCUUAAUUUCCUAAUUGUAACCACUCGUAUCACACACUAUUAUCACAUCACAUUUGGUUCCAAAACGAUACUCAUCCACCAGUUUUCCUCUAAUACAAAUUUAUCCCACAAAUUCACAUACCAAAAUUAUCGUAAAUUUUCGAGGAAUCGAGACAUCUGUAACCCCUCAAUGAGUAACCCCGAUUCUCAAUUUGUCCCAAUACAAUCAUCAUUCUAAAAUUAUUAAAGUUUUAGAAUUUUAUUUGAGAUUACACGAGUGAAUUCGUUAUCCAAUUGGUACCAUUAUGGGAUCAGAAUUUCCACUAUCACAAGGGGAUGUACACACAACCAAAACACACAUAAUGGUCACAGCAGUCCGUCUCCAGGUGACCCAGAACAUAACACAUACUGUAACGGCCCCGGAAAUUUAAAUAAAAUAUAUGUAUUAAAAAUCUCAAGUGCGGAAGCGUAAUAAAAAUUUUGAUUAACAUCCCUUACACAAUAACCAAAACGUACUCAAAAUAUGAAGGAACAAACUAACUAAAAGAGAUACUCGAAAUAAAAACUAUAAAUAUAACUAUGAAAUCUUUAGGCGUCCCCUUCGCCGUCUUCCUGUGGAACGAGCUCAGUAACAACGUCUUCCUGAUCUGAAAUGGUUAAAUAAGGGAUGAGCUACACCAGCCCAGUAAAGACAUCACACUAUCUCACCGCCACGGAAGUAAAGGUGGGUAGAAAACAAAAAUGACCAAUGGAGCAAAAUUUAUAACGAACUCGUUUAUUAACAUAAAAACCUUUACUGUCCACUUACCUCGGUGAGAUAUAUGAAAAUAACAUAUGAAAACAAUAACCUUAUAAUAUCAUAAAAUCAUAUACACUUUAUAACAUAACACAUAUCAUACAUUUACAUUUCAAUCAUCAGAAAAUAGAUUUCCUCGUUUACCAGCCUACUAGUAUCCUUGGAGAUCCAUAGGGGGUUCCCGCUACACGUGAACCAUUAACAUUACAACCUGAUUCCAGGGCCGUCCUCAUACCCCGUCCG
RNAcentral lists this long non-coding RNA (1615 nucleotides) under Carica papaya (papaya). Its description in RNAcentral is "long non-coding RNA (CPAP_LNC014643)". Lineage: Eukaryota; Viridiplantae; Streptophyta; Magnoliopsida; Brassicales; Caricaceae. The record is from RNAcentral.